RNAcentral lists this long non-coding RNA (2993 nucleotides) under Homo sapiens (human). Its description in RNAcentral is "HSALNT0105995". Lineage: Eukaryota; Metazoa; Chordata; Mammalia; Primates; Hominidae. The record is from RNAcentral.
CAGGAAUUAAUCAACCUCGCCUUCAAGGUGUACAAUAACAGAGAGGAGGCAGCCAGACAGCAACGCAUUUCUGAGUUACAAUUACUUGCCUCUGCUAUGAGACAAAACCCAGCCACACCUCCAGCACACAAGAACUUCAAAAUGCCUAAGCUGCACAAGCCUAAGCCGCACACGCCUAAGCCGCAGCAGUCAAGCAUUCCUACAGGACUUCCUCCAACAGGAUCUUGCUUCAAGUGCCAGAAAUCUGGCCACUGGGCCAAGGAAUGCCCGCAGCCCGGAAUUCCUCCCAAGCCAUGUCCCAUCUGUGCAGGGACCCACUGGAAAUCAGACUGCCCAGCUCUCCCGGCAGCCACUUCUAGAGCCCCUAAAGCUCUAGCCCAAGGCUCUCUGACUGACUCCUUCCCAGAUCUGCUCGGCUUAGUGGUUGAAGACUGAUGCGGCCUGAUCACCUUGGAAACCCCCUGGACCAUCACGGAUGCCGAGCUUCGGGUAACUCUCACAGUGGAGGGCUAUACAGGAGGCAUGGCACCAGCAUCUGCUCAGCUUCUGGGGAGCCCUCAGGAAGCUUCCAAUCAUGGUGGAAGGUGAAGAGGGAGCUGUCAUCUCACAUCGUGAGAGCAGGAACAAGAGUCUGAGGGACUUCUACACUGCUGGUGUGAAUGUAAACUAGUACAACCACUACGGAAAACAGUGUGGAGAAAAGUAGAACUACAAUUUGAUCCAGCAAUCCCACUACUGGGCAUCUACCCAGAGGAAAAGAAGUCAUUAUAUGAAAAAGAUACUUGCACAUGCAUGUUUAUAGCAGCGCAAUUUUCAAUUGCAAAAACGUGGAACCAACCCAAAUGCCCACCGAUUAACAAGUGGAUAAAGAAACUGUGGUGUAUAUAUGAUAGAAUACUACUCAGCCAUAAAUGGAAUGAAUUAAUGGCAUUUACAGUGACCUGGAUGAGACUGGAGACUAUUAUUCUAAGUGAAGUAACUCAGGGAUGGAAAACCAAACAUCAUAUUCUUUCACUCCUAUGAGGAUGCAAAGGUAUAGGAAUGACACAAUAGACUUUGGGGACUCAGGGGAAAGGUGGGAAGGGGGUGAGGGAUAAAAGACUACAAAUUGGGUGCAGUAUGUACUGCUUGGGUGAUGGGUGCACCAAAAUCUCACAAGUCACCACCAAAGAACUUACUCAUGUAAUCAAAUACCAUCUGCUCCCCAAUAACGUACGGAAAUAAAAAAAAUUAAAAAAAAGAGUCUGAAGGGGAAGAUGCCACACACUCUUAAACAGCCAGAUCUUGCAAUAACUCACUCACUAUUGCAAGGAUAGCAUGAAGAGGACGGCGCUAAACCAUUCUUGAGAAAUCCACCUCCAUGAUACAAUCACCUCCCACCACGGCCCACCUCCAACACUGGGGAUUACAAUUUAACGUGAGACGUAGAGAGGACAACAUCCAAACUAUAUCAAUAGUAUUUGUUGCAUUUUUUUGCAUUUCCUAAUAAAAACUUAAAUAUGUGAGCUAUCCAAACAAACAUAUCCAAAUGGGCCCCAAUAUUUAUAACUUAUAAUAUGGUAGUGACUCAUGAGGAAGAAAUGAUAGGGGCAGGAGGGCAUUUGAGAAGGCAACAGUGUACAGGGCUCUGCAGGAGGCCCUGAGGUCACACAGUACACUGGAAAAGACUCCAGACUCCCUGGGAUGGAGGCUGCAGGGAUGGGGAAGAAAAGUGGAUCCAGGAGGCCUGGGUUCUAGUCUUCCUCCACAGCUAAAAACUUAGUGCUCUGGACAAGCCCUUCAUCUCCCUGGGCCUCAGGUGUCUCAUCUAUAAAAUGAGCAUGCUUGGACCUUAUCUGGAAGAAAUGCUUUCCUGAUGUUCUUUCCAGGGCUUGCCAUGCUUAUUUCUUGCACUCUAGGAUUAAGGACAAGUAUUUUCAGUUCUCCCUACUACUGGCUGGCUGUGUGAGCCAUUUCUCUGCAAACAGGAGUAUUCUUGCUGUUCCUCUGGUCAAUCCAGAAGCUCAUGGGAAAGUGCUCUGCAAUCUUGAACAGGAAGCAAGGAAUGUGUCAUCCCUACUAAGAUCACCUUUCCUCUUCUCCUGUUCUCAGAGAUCCCCAGAAGCACCCCUGGGUCAACAGCCACCUUUGCCGGUAUUGACUGGGAAGAGUCCCCAAGAGUGGUAUUGGGUCCAGGCAGUUGUAGCACAUGAACCCUUGUGAGUGGAGGUUGACCUUCAGGAUGGUGGUGCUCACCCCGCUGAAGGAUUCUGGGCAAACUAAGCAAAGGGUUAGUUUACAAUUUUCCCUCCUGGUUUUUUUUUUUUUUUUUCCCUUGGAGGCUUAAAGAAGAACAAAUUCUUAUCCGCAGUAUCCUGUUCCCAGACUCCCAUCUUCUUGCCUCCCCAUGGGUCCUUAGCCUCCCUUAAAUCCUUUAGAAAAGAGCUGGCUCCCAGAAGAUACGGGGAGAACUGCAAUUUGCCCUUUUCCAAAGCCUAUCAUUCAUUCUGGGUCUUUUUCUCAUCCCCUCGCUUCCAGUUCUAAUUUGGUGCCUGGGGCCGCUCUCUUCUUGAAUGAUUAGAACCAGAGGGCAAUCAAAAAGAAACGAACUUAAUGCAGAGGAGAGAGGGGAGCCAGCAGCUUUGGGGACAUUUCUCUUCCCUCAAGGGAUGAGGUAGAUUUUCCUAAAUCUAUAAUUAACAAGAUGAAAAAAGACACUUCAAGAAUUCAUAACUCUCGGAAAAUACUCCAGUUUGGGAAACACUGGUCUGGAACUUGUGGUGAGUCAGCUCUUGAUUCGUGAAGACAGAGAUGCACAGUUACCACAUUGAGAAGAUAGUAGAUGAUGUAAACCCAUUGGAGAAAUGGAAACUUUCCCAUGGGAAAGGCUGCAUGGGUGGAGGAAGCAGUCCUCUGGUGGAAUAGAAUGAUAACAUACCAUUCAUCACAGCCCCAGUGAGUGGCCUGAUUGAUCCACAAAGACAUUCUCCUUUGCAUCCUCUGGGACAAGAACU